CGUGUCACUCUCAAGAAAAAGGGCUCUUCAUUUCUCUCUCUUCUUGUGCAAUACUACCUCUUCCUUCUUUGUGAUUUUGGGGGUUAAUUUUCUGGUGGUUUUUUCUGAAAAUAAUCUCAGAAAACAGCAUGAAAUAUUCAAGAUCUAUAUGGGUAUUGUGCUAAUUUGGUCUUGGUUGAGUCAAAUCCGUGUGACUAUUUGUUGGUCGGUUUUUAUUGCGAAAACUUAAUGUUUUUCAACCAUUCUUGUAUACUUUAGAGGUUGAUUUGUAUAGUUCCUUGGUGGAAGGUAAUAUUCUGUGAAAGAGCACCCAUUUUCUAUGGUUCGAAGAGGGCAGUUCGGUUUUGGUGAUCUGUGUUAUCUGGAUUUUGAAUCUUUAGUGGAGUGAGGCUUGAUUUGUGUGUUAUUUUAAAGAUAAGUCUUGGUGACUUUAUUUGUUAUAUUUUCUGGAACAUUAUUGUAUAUUUACUGCCUAUUUUGGGGCUUUAUAGUGCGACUGAGUUUUAUCCAUUCUAAUGGAUACUCAACAUGGGAUUAGGCAUUAGAAGUGGUCGUCGAACCUCUGGGGCUUCGGCCGAAAAAUUAUUCGUGUUCAUUUUUAUUUUCUACACUUUAUUUUCAGUUUAUAAUUGUGGUUUUGGAAUCUUGAUUAAUAUUUAGUAUCUCUCG
RNAcentral lists this long non-coding RNA (669 nucleotides) under Olea europaea subsp. europaea. Lineage: Eukaryota; Viridiplantae; Streptophyta; Magnoliopsida; Lamiales; Oleaceae. The record is from RNAcentral.